Molecule: long non-coding RNA, 275 nt
Filed under: Capsicum annuum
Lineage: Eukaryota; Viridiplantae; Streptophyta; Magnoliopsida; Solanales; Solanaceae
Description: long non-coding RNA (CANN_LNC002938)
Source: RNAcentral
UGGUUAAGGGUGGAGCAGCCCCAUCCACUGCACCACAACCCAUGUUGAUUUUAAUUCAUAUACUUAUUUGUAUAUAAAUACAAAUGAUAAAUUGCACAUAUUGACAACUAAACUAUUCAAAUACAAAUAAUAAAUUUAUUUGAAAUAUAUAGUAUGAUACAAAUAAAUUUAAAGUAAAAAAAUAUAAAAUGCAAUGACAAAAAAAAAGAUGAGGAAAAGAAUAUAAAAAAAUAAGAAAAAUGACAAAAAUGAUGAACCAAGAAUGAAAAGGGGGG